UUCCCGGCCUUGUACACACCGCCCGUCACACCACGAAAGUCGGCAAUACCCGAAGCCGGUGGCCCAACCCGCAAGGGAGGGAGCCGUCGAAGGUAGGGUCGAUGAUUGGGUG
This 112-nucleotide ribosomal RNA is filed under the name uncultured bacterium. RNAcentral describes it as "partial 16S ribosomal RNA". It matches the Rfam family "Bacterial small subunit ribosomal RNA", at positions 1372 to 1482 of the family's 1533-position model. The record is from RNAcentral.